AGUGAACGCUGGCGGUAGGCCUAACACAUGCAAGUCGAACGGCAGCACAGUAAGAGCUUGCUCUUACGGGUGGCGAGUGGCGGACGGGUGAGGAAUACAUCGGAAUCUACUUUUUCGUGGGGGAUAACGUAGGGAAACUUACGCUAAUACCGCAUACGACCUACGGGUGAAAGCAGGGGAUCUUCGGACCUUGCGCGAUUGAAUGAGCCGAUGUCGGAUUAGCUGGUUGGCGGGGUAAAGGCCCACCAAGGCGACGAUCCGUAGCUGGUCUGAGAGGAUGAUCCGCCACACUGGAACUGAGACACGGUCCAGACUCCUACGGGAGGCAGCAGUGGGGAAUAUUGGACAAUGGGCGCAAGCCUGAUCCAGCCAUACCGCGUGGGUGAAGAAGGCCUUCGGGUUGUAAAGCCCUUUUGUUGGGAAAGAAAAGCAGCAGGUUAAUACCCCGCUGUUCUGACGGUACCCAAAGAAUAAGCACCGGCUAACUUCGUG
Molecule: ribosomal RNA, 492 nt
Filed under: uncultured bacterium
Lineage: Bacteria
Description: partial 16S ribosomal RNA
Rfam family: Bacterial small subunit ribosomal RNA
Source: RNAcentral